RNA transcript from Papaver somniferum (opium poppy), 1240 nucleotides. It is a transcript of the gene named mitochondrial import receptor subunit TOM20-like, with no coding region annotated. The transcript is spliced from 6 exons. NCBI's taxonomy places the organism in Eukaryota, Viridiplantae, Streptophyta, Magnoliopsida, Ranunculales, Papaveraceae. The record is from RefSeq and is a predicted model, not a curated record.
UAAGAAAUUCUGCAAGACGAAACGAAACGAAACCUAACACUUUCAGAAAAAAGAAAUUUUAGGGGAAAACCAAACCAUCAAGAAGAAUUAGGGUAAAAGCAUGGAGAUGAAGACUAAGGAUUAUUCCGAACACGAUCUAGAUCACGCUUUUGAUCCUAAUGAUUCCGAGGAUAUCACUAGAUGGGAAGUAUUAUUAUUGAAAUUAACACAAUUUCAACCUGACGCCGAAUCGAAGACCAAUGCCAUAUUAGCGGCUAUAUCCAAACUUGAGCAAUCACUGGUUAAAGAUCCAUUUAACCCCAAUACAGUAUGGUGGUUGGGUAACGCGUAUAAGGAGCGUGGAUUAAUGACUCCUUACUACAAUGUAGCUGCAAUUUAUUUUGAUAGAGCGAUUGAAUUUUAUGAACUAGCAUUAAUGGAGUAACCAGAGGAUCAAAUAUAUCUCAAGUCUUUGGAAUCAACUGCUGAGGUAAAGACAUGUUUAGCCCAACAGGCAGCAGGAGCAGAAAACUCUUCCACUUCAUAUGAAGAGCAUGGUUCUUCAAGACUCCGGUAGCAAUAUCUCUAUAAAAGAUUGGAUUACUAAAUGGUUAACUAAUGGCAGUAGCUCAGAACAAAUAGGAAACUACAAAGGUUGCAGAAUAGUAUCCGGACAAGUAAGAGAAGCAGAGGAAGUGGAAAGUCUUGCGUUUUUUGAAGCUGUGAGAUGGAUCAAAACUCAAGGCCUUUCAACUGUCUGCUUAAGAGGAGAUGCAAAAAAAAGUAGUUUCUUCUUUGACCUUCUUUAAACUAAUGACCAGAUUAGCUGGUUUAAUGAAACAGUUCUAGAUGAUUGUCUGUCGUUAUUAGUCUUUGUCUUUCUUUAAAGUUGCUUUUAUUGGUAGGGAUCUUAAUGGUGUAGCUGUUUAGUAGGAAGUUCAAUGUCACAGGUGGAUGGGUCAAGUCUGUACCCCCAUUUCAUACCGUAAACUCUUUUAUUUUGGAAUCUCCCAGUUAUGCCCGUGCAUUAUUUUUUUAGUUUGAAUUGUUCUUCAUAUAGAAAUCAUGCAUGGGUUGUAUUUUCAAGAAAUCAGGUUUCUCUAUCCUCGGGAAUCAGGAAGAAUGAUUUGCAAGGCCGUCAGAUUAAUUGGUGUUAGAAAUAUAUAAUGUGACUCAGCCGGGGAUCACCCUUUGGCCUUUUCCCUUUUUUUUUGUUUUUUUUGUUGUUGUAUGGUUCGUUAUACACCUAUUUUUUUCCUUU